CAUGCANGUCGAACGAUGAAGCCCUUCGGGGUGGAUUAGUGGCGAACGGGUGAGUAACACGUGGGCAAUCUGCCCUUCACUCUGGGACAAGCCCUGGAAACGGGGUCUAAUACCGGAUACCACUCCUGCCUGCAUGGGCGGGGGUUGAAAGCUCCGGCGGUGAAGGAUGAGCCCGCGGCCUAUCAGCUUGUUGGUGGGGUAAUGGCCUACCAAGGCGACGACGGGUAGCCGGCCUGAGAGGGCGACCGGCCACACUGGGACUGAGACACGGCCCAGACUCCUACGGGAGGCAGCAGUGGGGAAUAUUGCACAAUGGGCGAAAGCCUGAUGCAGCGACGCCGCGUGAGGGAUGACGGCCUUCGGGUUGUAAACCUCUUUCAGCAGGGAAGAAGCGAAAGUGACGGUACCUGCAGAAGAAGCGCCGGCUAACUACGUGCCAACAGCCGCGGUAAUACGUAGGGCGCAAGCGUUGUCCGGAAUUAUUGGGCGUAAAGAGCUCGUAGCGGCUUGU
RNAcentral lists this ribosomal RNA (511 nucleotides) under earthworm cast bacterium NC6. RNAcentral's name for it is "bacterial SSU rRNA". It matches the Rfam family "Bacterial small subunit ribosomal RNA", at positions 54 to 583 of the family's 1533-position model. The record is from RNAcentral.